Schistosoma curassoni is the source of this 46-nucleotide non-coding RNA. The record is from Rfam. NCBI's taxonomy places the organism in Eukaryota, Metazoa, Platyhelminthes, Trematoda, Strigeidida, Schistosomatidae.
ACCCAGCUGACGAGUCCCAAAUAGGACGAAACGCGUGUCGAGGGAU